Molecule: ribosomal RNA, 229 nt
Filed under: uncultured bacterium
Lineage: Bacteria
Description: partial 16S ribosomal RNA
Rfam family: Bacterial small subunit ribosomal RNA
Source: RNAcentral
CGUGUAGGCGGUCUGGUAAGUCAGGUGUGAAAGCUCCGGGCUUAACUCGGAAAGUGCACUUGAAACUACCAGACUUGAGUGCGGGAGAGGAAGGUGGAAUUCCCAGUGUAGAGGUGAAAUUCGUAGAUAUUGGGAGGAACACCGGUGGCGAAGGCGACCUUCUGGACCGCCACUAACGCUGAGACGCGAAAGCGUGGGGAGCAAACAGGAUUAGAUACCCUGGUAGUCC